CGCAAGAUGUAGUGUUUUCAAUCAUCUUGCGGAUGUUCUUUUCGGACUCCGACUCCGAAGGUCGCAGGUUCGAAUCCUGUCGGGCAUACCA
RNAcentral lists this transfer RNA (91 nucleotides) under Caudoviricetes sp. RNAcentral's name for it is "tRNA-Arg". Lineage: Duplodnaviria; Heunggongvirae; Uroviricota; Caudoviricetes. The record is from RNAcentral.